AUGCUGCCCGUGCUGCUGCCACCGCUGCUGCUGCUGCUGCUUAACCCCCACGCCCCACCCCCAAGGCUGGAGAGCACCCCCCUGAGGCUGCUGCACACCAACACCUGCAGAGACACCUUCCGCCUCCAGCCCGACUGUCCGGACCUGCAGGCCCUCCUGCCCAAGGGCUCCCGGUGCGCGAUCGCCCCCACCGGCCCAGCCCAGCUGGUGGUGUCUGAUGGGAGCCCCCUGGUCUGCUUCCAAGCUAGCAGCUGGCGGCUGGAGGGUGUGAUGACCUGGGGUCCCUGCUCCCGGCCUGGCCUCCCUGAGGUCUACACACGUGCCUGUCCCCUCAUUUCUUGGAUUCGGGAGACGGUCUCCAAUGCCACCUUCGAUACCUCAGCCAAGAUGCACUCUUGGGACCGGCCCAGGACCAGGCAGAGGAGGCAGUGAGGGUCCUUCGGGAGUUCUGGGUUUGAAACCUGGCUCAGCUCCUUACCUGCUGCUGCGAUGGUGUCCCAGUCACCUCCCUUCUGAAUCUGCUUCCUCUUUUGUGCAACGGAGAUGUAUUCAAUUAUUCAGUCGUUCCACAGCUGCCACAUGCUCCCUACACAAGGUUGCUACAGCCCCUGUGCUCAUGGAGUCUGGGGGGCGAGGCGAGCAUUAGCCAGCGCUCUCACAAUAAUAAAUGUGCAAAUGC
This 679-nucleotide long non-coding RNA is filed under the name Sus scrofa (pig). RNAcentral's name for it is "lncRNA (ENSSSCG00035069391.1)". The record is from RNAcentral. Lineage: Eukaryota; Metazoa; Chordata; Mammalia; Artiodactyla; Suidae.